Molecule: ribosomal RNA, 253 nt
Filed under: uncultured bacterium
Lineage: Bacteria
Description: partial 16S ribosomal RNA
Rfam family: Bacterial small subunit ribosomal RNA
Source: RNAcentral
UACGUAGGGUGCGAGCGUUAAUCGGAAUUACUGGGCGUAAAGCGUGCGCAGGCGGUUUUGUAAGCCAGAUGUGACAUCCCCGGGCUUAACCUGGGAAUGGCAUUUGGGACUGCAAGGCUGGAGUGUGGCAGAGGAGACUGGAAUUCCUGGUGUAGCAGUGAAAUGCGUAGAUAUCAGGAGGAAUACCGAUGGCGAAGGCAGGUCUCUGGGCUGACACUGACGCUCAUGCACGAAAGCGUGGGGAGCAAACAGG